Molecule: ribosomal RNA, 765 nt
Filed under: Enterobacteriaceae bacterium DHL-21
Lineage: Bacteria; Pseudomonadati; Pseudomonadota; Gammaproteobacteria; Enterobacterales; Enterobacteriaceae
Description: bacterial SSU rRNA
Rfam family: Bacterial small subunit ribosomal RNA
Source: RNAcentral
UCAGAUGAACGCUGGCGGCAGGCCUAACACAUGCAAGUCGAACGGUAACAGGAAGCAGCUUGCUGCUUCGCUGACGAGUGGCGGACGGGUGAGUAAUGUCUGGGAAACUGCCUGAUGGAGGGGGAUAACUACUGGAAACGGUAGCUAAUACCGCAUAACGUCGCAAGACCAAAGAGGGGGACCUUCGGGCCUCUUGCCAUCGGAUGUGCCCAGAUGGGAUUAGCUAGUAGGUGGGGUAACGGCUCACCUAGGCGACGAUCCCUAGCUGGUCUGAGAGGAUGACCAGCCACACUGGAACUGAGACACGGUCCAGACUCCUACGGGAGGCAGCAGUGGGGAAUAUUGCACAAUGGGCGCAAGCCUGAUGCAGCCAUGCCGCGUGUAUGAAGAAGGCCUUCGGGUUGUAAAGUACUUUCAGCGGGGAGGAAGGGAGUAAAGUUAAUACCUUUGCUCAUUGACGUUACCCGCAGAAGAAGCACCGGCUAACUCCGUGCCAGCAGCCGCGGUAAUACGGAGGGUGCAAGCGUUAAUCGGAAUUACUGGGCGUAAAGCGCACGCAGGCGGUUUGUUAAGUCAGAUGUGAAAUCCCCGGGCUCAACCUGGGAACUGCAUCUGAUACUGGCAAGCUUGAGUCUCGUAGAGGGGGGUAGAAUUCCAGGUGUAGCGGUGAAAUGCGUAGAGAUCUGGAGGAAUACCGGUGGCGAAGGCGGCCCCCUGGACGAAGACUGACGCUUCAGGUGCGAAAGCGUGGGNNGCAACAGGAUA